This 879-nucleotide long non-coding RNA is filed under the name Homo sapiens (human). RNAcentral describes it as "HSALNT0146831". Lineage: Eukaryota; Metazoa; Chordata; Mammalia; Primates; Hominidae. The record is from RNAcentral.
CUUGGACAUCAUUGGGAAUGCCUAUUAGAAGGGAUAAGAGCAUGCUAGAAACAGAUGGCUUGAGCAAGAUUGUUGGCUCUGUCUCUUCUAGCUUCCUGACCUCAUGUAAGAUAUAUAACAUCUCUAUGCCUUGGUUUCCUUAUCUGCAAAAAGGGGAUAAUAAUAGUAGUACAUAGUGGAUAGGACUGCAGCCAGGAUUAGAUAACAGAGUAUAUGUAAAUCUCGUAGAUCAAUGCCUGCUACAUGAGUAACUUUUUAAUCCACAGUACAUGAAUCAAAUUGCAUUGAAUCAAAAGUUUUGUGAAGAUUUGAGAUGAGAAUGAGAGCCAAAUAAGCCAUAUCAUAAGAAGCUGUGAUCAGAAAUAAAAUGAGGACAAUGCUUACUGUGGCUUUCAAGGCAGGAGAAAGCACACCCGAGGGGGUCGUGUCCCACACUAGGCAGAUCUAAUGGUGCCACAAAAGACAGGUGUUUUGUCAGAUUUCAGCCACACACUUUCACACCUGCAACGCAUUAACUACCGCAGCAAUGUUAAUGAAGACCAGGUGCCUGUUCUCCAGCAUAAAUGAGGAACUGGCAGGAGAUUUGCUGUUUGCUACCUGACGUCUACCCCUGAGUCUCUGAACCCCGUCCUUCUGGUUGAAGGGGAAGGUGUAGUGAUGUACAAAAAAUGAUUCCUGUUGGACAUUCAACACGAUACUCCAAUGUACUUUGAACACGUCAUGUUCUGUGAAGGUAAAAAUGCUGGAAUGUAACUCCAUUUGCUGAAAUUCCGUCUUGGAUAGAAGUCCAAGUCUCAUCAAUUCAUUUUUAAUUUUAUGAUAAAACAUCCAAACAUAGUCAACGAGGUAAAAUUAGAAAAAUCUCCUUAAUCAUUCUCC